RNAcentral lists this long non-coding RNA (883 nucleotides) under Salmo salar (Atlantic salmon). RNAcentral's name for it is "lncRNA (ENSSSAG00000089504.1)". Lineage: Eukaryota; Metazoa; Chordata; Actinopteri; Salmoniformes; Salmonidae. The record is from RNAcentral.
UUUGGAUUCCAUCUCUCAUGCAACAUAAUUGCCCCAAACUUACAAAAAGGCACAAACAGUAACAUCCCUCGUUUCUCAAGCAAAGGUCUUUUAAGGGAGUAUGUGAGCACAGACGUUCACUUCGCCUAGCCGAGUUCUACUAGGAGCAAACUGAACCGAUGUAUGAGAACGCCUUAAGACACAGUGCAGGUAUCGGGAGUCAACAUUUACAUAGAUCAGGGUUGAGAAAGUGUGUCACAGUGUGUGUCGGCUUUUGUACCAGGCUACCUCUAACACACCUGAUUCACCUAAUCAUGGUCUGCAAUUAAAACCACUAUUAUGAAGCAGGUGCGUUUGUGCUGGGUUGGAACAUAAUAAUGCAGGCAGCCUCACAGGACAGCACAGGAGUUGCUCACCCCUGAUAUAAAUUCCUCUGCUUAGUAGAGAAUAAUCCAAUACUCUCUCAGCUGAUAGGUUUGACGAACCAAGCUAAUGUUCUCAUUCCCAUUCAUCCUCUACAGUUCAGUCCUGAGAAGCCUGUGAGAUCAGAGACUGAAGAAGCCGUCCCUUAAAGACAAGGUCCACGGUGUCGUCCUUGUAGUGGAUUCUUCUAAAAGGUGUCCAGCUACACCAAAGGCUUAGGCACCACCUGCCAACAGCCCAGAGAACACAUCAGUGACCUGGGCGUGCAUCAAGUGGCAUUGCUGACACGUGGAUCAGGCUGGGGCUCUGCUUGGCAUGUCCACCUCCUACAUUGUCCCAGUGAAGAACUACUCGUAUGAGCUGGAAGUUGAUGAGAACACAGACAUCCUUCUGCUCAGUGCAGUGGCCCACAUCCUGCAAUAUGUAGACCUGCACUUCCGGGACAGUGCAGGGACAGAGCCUAAACUGUCUCUUUAAUCAA